GACGAUGUUGAUGCCAGUGUAGACCAGACCAAAUACUGUUAUGAAAAUUUCCAUUUGUUGAACUCGUACUAUACGGUAGUUCGAUCCAGUCUAAUGCAAAACGAGAAAUGUAAAUAUGAUACGGUACUUACUGUCGUCUGCUAGUGAAGUUACAAGAACUUCUUUAGUCAGUUAACUAGCUCCUUCUCGCCUUCUCUCUAGUAUCUUUACGUGACUCUUCUCGAAGAAUAGCCUCCUUUUUCCUAGUCGACCGUCGUUUACCUUUAUUUUUGGGCGACAGAUGUAGUCUACAUCCGUCACUUGGAGGUUUACUACGUAAUCUACCCCGUUGUCACCAUUUUCUGAUGCGACUCUGUUGUUUCCUCGUCAAGUUGUGUGUUUCCGCACCACGAAUAGCCUUUUUUUCCUGGUCCUAUGACACAACAACGUUCUCCAAGUAGUCGGGAGGAACUGUUUAAGACUGCAACGUGUGCAACUUCGUCUUAAUGGGUGAAGUAGUAAUCCUCGCAGACUACAAGGGUACUGUUACUGGCUCGAUACUCCCUCGUCUCUUUGAGUGCAUCGGCUUGUAUAAUAAUCUUCUUUUUCCCACUUGAUUGCCAACUACUGUCUCUUCCUUACUUACUUUUCUAGGCUCGGUUCGCACACGUUGCGGCGUUUUCGUACAGCCAAUAACUCUUCCCGGUCAGUUCACGAGAUUCCUUCCGGUCAAUACGAUUUUCCUUUUUGUGGGGUACGUUUCUUAGGGAACGUGAGGGAGCAGGUUUGAGAUGGAGAUUUACAGGGCGUAGGUCGACAGCACGUUAUGGGGAGCCUACCCCGUGGCUUCUACUAAGUAGUCUACCGCUGUUAGGUGGCCAUCACGGUUUAAUGCCACGAUCGAGGUUACUACUGUUGUUACACAAGGCUCUGGGGGAGUACCCGCUACUUGGCUAUGGUAGGCUGAACUACCUAGUCCUCAUCAUGUACAAAGCACUGGUUCCUAGGCCAUUACUGUGUUAACUCCUACAACUACUUUGCUCGUACAGCAGACGAUAUGGAUCGCUACAACUGGGUAAUCUGAAACAGAUGUGUUUGUAGGGUCUGUGGUGAGUGCAUAACUUUGACCUGCGUUUGACGUUUGUGACGUUUCGGUUUUUCAAACACAGACUCUGACUGCCCAAGACGACAGUGUUACCUGUCUAGCUUGAAUUUGUUGGACUUGGUCAGGGUCUCGACUACUCUGAUACCAGGUCGUACCUACGUCUAAGAUAUGUAAAAACCCUCUUGUAUGCUAAGAAGUUACCCGUAAAGCGGAAGUGUUGGGAACCGCAGUCGGAGGUACUCUUGAUGUGUUUAUACUUCAGGCCCCACAUGUGUAAGGCCCGUGUGCCGUGGUAGAUGGUGUUACACGUGAGCAAGCCUGGAUCGCGGGCAGGUCUUGUAGACGUAAAUAUGAAGAUACUACUGCUGGGUUGGUAAUGAGUAGCAUUCCGCCGGUGGUUCGUCAAUCUGGACCUACAACACUCCUUCAAUCAUCUGUAUGACUUUCUUUUGGGCAUGAGUGUCGUUAAAUCCUCAAACCCACGUGUGUUCCUGUUGGAGCUACUAAUAUCCUAUCUGGAUUUGUGGCUAUUCUCCGAACUGGUUUCUUCUAUAUUAUCUGGCAACAGUAGACUCCAGCGACGUUAAACCCAACUCCCGUCGCUGGAUCGUUUUUCCAAACUGGCCUCCUAUUGUGAAACACCGUUGUUGCUUUCCGUGUUAUAAGCACACUGGAGGCCCCGUAUACUGGGCAACAGAAUAGGGGAAAAAAUAGGUUCCCCGCUUGAUCCAACCGUAGGCUUCGAUGGAUUUGUACCACAAGGAACCCUCCAACAUGAUGUAGGGGUUGACCCGGUACUACUACUACUCCUACGUACAUACAGCAUCCGUUGUUCAUAACAAUGUUUAUUAUUAUAAAUUGAGCUUCCUAAGGAGUAAAGAUAACAUGAACUAGUGUACGUCUCCCCUUAUCGUCCAACACGAGAGACAUUCUCUGAUAAUGACAAUGUACGAUAUCUGUGCCGGACGCUAGAAGUUAGGGUAUGAGACACCGCGUGCGGACGACGUCGUUACCCGCCAUCUGUACAUACACUUCUAACUCUCAACAGUCAACUCCACCAAGUCCUUCUUGAUCUGUGUCUAAGCCCGGCUGAACAUAUUUCCUCAACAACUACACUAGUGUAGGCCACUCUGCGCUCGUUCACGGCAACCCUGUUCCUAUCAAGAGGGACCUUGUAUGGGUCCGCCACUAGCACUGUACUUCUUCUCCGUAUACCUACGGUACCGUUAACAGGUGUGUAUGCCCUUCGGACUACAGAAGAACUGGUACUGAACGUUAGGUUUUACCCUUCUCUAUUGAUUACUCAACGACGGACCAGUCUGACGCGUCCUGGCUGGACUAUAACACCGAGCGCACAAGAUACCGUUUGAUCUCCGAUACUUCCUGUACAACAAGUUCUUCGUCUAGGACCCACAACAACAGCGAAUACAUAUGCAUCAUCUCAAGGUUUUUUCCCCGGAAGGGGUGCGUGUAAAAAACAACUAUUACCUCAGUCGUAUAUUCGAAUAGCAGGGUCUCGUCAUACUGGCUGAGUAUAGUCGUCUCGAGGGUCUGUUCGUAUUCAUAGGGCUUAACAUACGUUACCACCAUUUCGUAUACUACGUGCCUGGUACGCCAAGAGAGUUGGUUUCUUACAAACGUACGUUCUUUUGCCUACGUUCACGUCUAUGGGCUCCAGCAAGUUACUUUUGUGUUGUGUCCCCUUCCUGAGCAUAGGUCAAAUAGCUGCAUCUCUGCUGCCAUCUGCACGAUUCCAGGCUCCCUUCUACAACCUGUUGUCUACCCAACACGGAAUAUUGGGUAUGGAAGACGCCUACAAGUUAACGGUGUAGUUACAACUCCAGACGAGAUCGUAUUUCCGGCAGGUUAUAGAAAUGUUCAUGUAGAUGUUCCCGGUACUAUUCCGAAGAAAGUCGUAACUGGUCGGGCUGCGGCUACCCUUGUAACUACUCUAGUUCUCUGUGCAACUGCGUUCUACCCAGUGGGGAGGCCUCCGAUACACCUCCUAUAAACCGAAGGGUGAAACGCGGUUAGUGGGUGGACAGAACGUCAACGGAGAAGUGGAGGGCUUAUACGUGUCCCAACGUAAGUUACGCGUCCGACUGAACUUAUUGCAACACUGGAAGUUUUUUCGAAGUUUUAGGUACAAUUGCCUCAUAAAGUUCCGAUUGGUCCUUGUGGGAACCCGAUCUGUAUAUAACAUAUUCUUAAAAGGUUCUUCGAAGUGCACCGUCGUUGUUUUCUUCAGAACCUUCGGAGCCCAGCUCUCAAAAGUUUAUCCAGCGUAGCACAGACGGUUAGGUCGGCUCCCCCUCGCUAUGAUGGACGCACAUAACGACUUGGUACAAUGCCCGUUUUGGAGUAAGCUGCUGAACGAGUGGCACCCGCCGCACGAUACACCCUCGAAAUCUCUCCGACGACUUGCCAACCCAGAGUAGCUCCGUCUUUUGUGCGAACUGCUGACAGAAUUACUCCGACUCGUCACCCGCAACGGUACAAGAGAAUCCUCUGAGAAGCGUUGGUAGAACCACGUAACACUCGGUCCGUUGCACGCGCCAAACACCCUAUCCGUGGAGCUCGGAUACAGUCUACUGAUAGUAGCUUGUGCGUGCAGCUGGUUCCUCCACCUCGUCAACCACAACGAACUGUAAUCCCGAUACAACGUCAGGUACCCAUUUCCGCAACAACUAAAGCGAGAAGGUUAGUAGCUACUACGCAAACUGGGUUGGCUACCACUCACAUCUCUCCAAUAUCUCCUUAGUUGGCAACUCAAACCGUACCUACUGUGAUUUAACCGUAGAAGGGACUUGAACCUCGUCUCCCGACGUAUGUUACUCUAUGACCACCAACAACUUGCGCCACUACCCCCACAUAAUAAACAACUACCGGGACCUCCAUAUCCCUUCUGGAAGAAUAUGUCCCGCUACAAACGGUUCCACUCCUCGCUCCCGUUCUAACCAUAGCGAUGGCGCUGCAGCCCGCAGCGGCGAAGAUAUUACGGACCGCCGUCCUGUCGGGUGAGCUCCAAGUUCUAUGGUGACUCAACGCUACUACCACGGAGUACGUCGAAGUGGUUCGUUUCACCCUGACGGUUCGACGAAUCCUACCGGACUAACUAUUAUACCCUGCUCCGGUCGUACUGCUUCGCUGUUCGUCAACUCCGUAACCUGUUAUCGUACGCACUGUAUAACCCUUAUGCGCUGGCUGGGAAACCUCCUUUCUGACAACAAAAACCGCCCCUGAAAUCCGUCCACGAAGGCCAACAGUCUUCCCCCAGCGCCCCGGCCUAAUAACUACGUUGUGAGGCUUCAAGAGUAGACACCUUACCAUACGCCGUUGAAGCCGAGCAAUGGUUGUACUCCCGAGUAUUACUGUGAACCAAACGUCUAAUGAACGAAUCCCAGUCGUUACCGUGACUCCUACAGCUGCUAGUUCCGUUGUAUGAUGAGGGAUUUCUGUAAACAGACGGAAGAUGUCCGCUCCAACUACUGAACCUCUUCGUAUAACUGGUACACAAAGGCUCAGAUCUACUGUUGUACAGACUAAGCUUAAUGUACUGUACAGCGCGUUAGGAGAGGUGGUGUUUGCUGUUACAGCUGUUCUAUUUGUAGGCGUACUAUCUCGCAAAGGUCCCUCUACUUCAUUAUAUGGUAUCGAAACUGUCACGCCUCCUACUGGGCAUACCGAUGAUGUGAGUUCUCAAAGAAUUACCUAACUGAGGGUUACCAGAAGGAGGCGUACGUGAGUUUGAUUUCGAUUUGACGGGACAGUAUGAAGAUUCCUUGUAACUGGAUCAAUUGCCUGACACAUUACCGUGAUCCGAACAACAAUCUCCUAAACUCUCCUUGUGGUAACUACGUCUUUAGACUAACCUGUUGUGCGACCGUCCUCCCAGAAGGAAGGAGUUUAUGGAGAAACGGGUAGACUUUUACUGUACAAAGGCAAGUUCAAAUUCUCCUUCGUUAAAGGAUAUUCUAAACCGAAACGAUACUGGUAAUUGUUCCGAGUUCCCGUCUGUUAGGGAUAACAACCACAGAUGGAGGGGUUAGCUCACAAGAGAGUACCAGUUGAGAUACAACGUAACAGAGCUCGGUGGCGCUUCUCUUUGUAUUUCUAUGAGUAAGUCUUCCUCUUCGGCUUCCUCUUUAGGUUCUUCGUUUUCCUGUUAAGUUUCUUCGCUUUUUCUGGCUGACACAGGAAUGACUGGAGCUACUUCUUGUAGCAGAUGUUCCUUCAGGAAUGUCCGACUUCAGGCCAGAAUUUUGGGGCCGUCCAAAUGAUUAUAUUGAAUGAGAAGUUUACCAGUUCAAUACAACAUUAAACAAAAAAAUCAAUAUAGGAAAAUAAACCAUAAAACUAUCUACCUAGAUAUGAGGUAAAUCAACUUAAUGUUUGAUGUAAAGUUAUAAGUCGUCAGUAUAACAGUCUUAGUAAAAACAAUAUACAAAAGAUAUUACAGUGUUGACUAUUACUGUACCUGGUACCUUACUUUGAAAAC
RNAcentral lists this ribosomal RNA (5582 nucleotides) under Triticum aestivum (bread wheat). RNAcentral describes it as "partial small subunit ribosomal RNA". Lineage: Eukaryota; Viridiplantae; Streptophyta; Magnoliopsida; Poales; Poaceae. The record is from RNAcentral.